This 302-nucleotide ribosomal RNA is filed under the name uncultured bacterium. Its description in RNAcentral is "partial 16S ribosomal RNA". It matches the Rfam family "Archaeal small subunit ribosomal RNA", at positions 458 to 760 of the family's 1478-position model. The record is from RNAcentral.
GCAGUCGCCGCGGUAAAACCAGCACCUCGAGUGGUCAGGAGGUUUAUUGGGCCUAAAGCAUCCGUAGCCGGUUGCAUAAGUUUUCGGUUAAAUCUAUGCGCUUAACGUAUAGGCCGCCGAAAAUACUGUGCAGCUAGGGAGUGGGAGAGGUACACGGUACUCGAUAGGAAGGGGUAAAAUCCUUUGAUCUAUUGAUGACCACCUGUGGCGAAGGCGGUGUACCAGAACACGUUCGACGGUGAGGGAUGAAAGCGUGGGGAGCAAACAGGAUUAGAUACCCCUGUAGUCCCUGUCUCUUAUAC